UGCAAUAUAGUUUAAUUAAAAUGCUUAUUUUACACGUAAGAGUUUCCUAAAGGAUUUUGUAA
RNAcentral lists this transfer RNA (62 nucleotides) under Rhinebothriidae sp. DJM-2021. RNAcentral's name for it is "tRNA-Val". The record is from RNAcentral. Lineage: Eukaryota; Metazoa; Platyhelminthes; Cestoda; Rhinebothriidea; Rhinebothriidae.